AAAACCCGAGGCUCAACCUCGGGCCUGCAGUGGGUACGGGCAGACUAGAGUGCGGUAGGGGAGAAUGGAAUUCCUGGUGUAGCGGUGGAAUGCGCAGAUAUCAGGAGGAACACCGAUGGCGAAGGCAGUUCUCUGGGCCGUAACUGACGCUGAGGAGCGAAAGCGUGGGGAGCGAACAGGAUUAGAUACCCUGGUAGUCCACGCCGUAAACGUUGGGCGCUAGAUGUGGGGACCAUUCCACGGUUUCCGUGUNGCAGCUAACGCAUUAAGCGCCCCGCCUGGGGAGUACGGCCGCAAGGCUAAAACUCAAAGGAAUUGACGGGGGCCCGCACAAGCGGCGGAGCAUGCGGAUUAAUUCGAUGCAACGCGAAGAACCUUACCAAGGCUUGACAUACACGAGAACGCCCUAGAAAUAGGGAACUCUUUGGACACUCGUGAACAGGUGGUGCAUGGUUGUCGUCAGCUCGUGUCGUGAGAUGUUGGGUUAAGUCCCGCAACGAGCGCAACCCUCGUUCUAUGUUGCCAGCGCGUAAUGGCGGGAACUCAUAGGAGACUGCCGGGGUCAACUCGGAGGAAGGUGGGGAUGACGUCAAAUCAUCAUGCCCCUUAUGUCUUGGGCUUCACGCAUGCUACAAUGGCCGGUACGAAGGGCUGCAAUACCGUAAGGUGGAGCGAAUCCCAAAAAGCCGGUCUCAGUUCGGAUUGAGGUCUGCAACUCGACCUCAUGAAGUCGGAGUCGCUAGUAAUCGCAGAUCAGCAACGCUGCGGUGAAUACGUUCCCGGGCCUUGUACACACCGCCCGU
RNAcentral lists this ribosomal RNA (803 nucleotides) under uncultured bacterium. RNAcentral describes it as "bacterial SSU rRNA". It matches the Rfam family "Bacterial small subunit ribosomal RNA", at positions 597 to 1397 of the family's 1533-position model. The record is from RNAcentral.